Molecule: RNase P RNA, 347 nt
Filed under: Bacillota bacterium
Lineage: Bacteria; Bacillati; Bacillota
Description: RNase P RNA component class A
Rfam family: Bacterial RNase P class A
About the family: Ribonuclease P (RNase P) is a ubiquitous endoribonuclease, found in archaea, bacteria and eukarya as well as chloroplasts and mitochondria.
Source: RNAcentral
UGAGUUUGUUAUACGGUCGCGGGGUCUUUUAAGACCAUGAGGAAAGUCCGAGCAGCAUAGGACAGGGUGCCUGAUAACGUCAGGUGAAGGCGACUUCAAGGAAAGUGCAACAGAAAUAAACCGCAGGGCUUUCGCCCUGUAAGGAUGGAAAGGCGAGGUAAGAGCUCACCGAUAUCGCGGUAACGCGGUAUGCCAUGUAAACCCCACCCGCUGCAAGAUUGGGUACCUGCCACAUAGGGCUGUCCGUCCGGCAGGAUACCGUGAAUAUCGCUUGAACUUGCCGGCGACGGCAAGUCUAGAUAGAUGACCGUACACGACAGAACUCGGCUUACAGACAGACUCAAAUC